This 525-nucleotide ribosomal RNA is filed under the name Salmonella enterica subsp. diarizonae. RNAcentral's name for it is "partial 23S ribosomal RNA". It matches the Rfam family "Bacterial large subunit ribosomal RNA", at positions 1031 to 1556 of the family's 2925-position model. Lineage: Bacteria; Pseudomonadati; Pseudomonadota; Gammaproteobacteria; Enterobacterales; Enterobacteriaceae. The record is from RNAcentral.
ACCGCCAGCUAAGGUCCCAAAGUCAUGGUUAAGUGGGAAACGAUGUGGGAAGGCCCAGACAGCCAGGAUGUUGGCUUAGAAGCAGCCAUCAUUUAAAGAAAGCGUAAUAGCUCACUGGUCGAGUCGGCCUGCGCGGAAGAUGUAACGGGGCUAAACCAUGCACCGAAGCUGCGGCAGCGACACUUUAGUGUUGUUGGGUAGGGGAGCGUUCUGUAAGCCGUUGAAGGUGUCCUGUGAGGGGUGCUGGAGGUAUCAGAAGUGCGAAUGCUGACAUAAGUAACGAUAAAGCGGGUGAAAAGCCCGCUCGCCGGAAGACCAAGGGUUCCUGUCCAACGUUAAUCGGGGCAGGGUGAGUCGACCCCUAAGGCGAGGCCGAAAGGCGUAGUCGAUGGGAAACGGGUUAAUAUUCCCGUACUUGGUGUUACUGCGAAGGGGGGACGGAGAAGGCUAUGUUGGCCGGGCGACGGUUGUCCCGGUUUAAGCGUGUAGGUGUGUGUUCCAGGUAAAUCCGGUUCACUUUAACAC